UGAGGAAUAUUGGUCAAUGGGCGCAAGCCUGAACCAGCCAUCCCGCGUGAAGGAAGAAUGCGCUACGCGUUGUAAACUUCUUUUCCAGGGGGAGAAUUUUCCUGUCGAGACAGGGUUUGACGGUACCCUGGGGAUAAGCAUCGGCUCACUCCGUGCCAGCAGCCGCGGUAAUACGGAGGAUGCGAGCGUUAUCCGGAUUGAUUGGGUUUAAAGGGUGCGUAGGCGGAUUGAUAAGUCAGUGGUGAAAUUCUGCAGCUUAACUGUAGACUGGCCGUUGAUACUGGUAGUCUUGAGUGUGGUCAAGGCAGGCGGAAUGGGUAAUGUAGCGGUGAAAUGAUUAGAUAUUACACAGAACACCGAUUGCGAAGGCAGCUUGCUGGGUCAUUACUGACGCUGAUGCACGAAAGCGUGGGGAUCAAA
RNAcentral lists this ribosomal RNA (420 nucleotides) under uncultured bacterium. Its description in RNAcentral is "bacterial SSU rRNA". It matches the Rfam family "Bacterial small subunit ribosomal RNA", at positions 355 to 772 of the family's 1533-position model. The record is from RNAcentral.